Salmo salar (Atlantic salmon) is the source of this 2074-nucleotide long non-coding RNA. RefSeq lists it as uncharacterized. The record is from RefSeq and is a predicted model, not a curated record. Lineage: Eukaryota; Metazoa; Chordata; Actinopteri; Salmoniformes; Salmonidae.
ACUGGUUGUGUAACGUUUUCUAACAAAAUGAUAACACUCCACCCUUAAAACAAAAAGAGGAGGACUGCGUCCCAAAAGCCACCCUAUUCCUUGUAUAGUGUAUUACUUUUGACCAGAGUCUUAUGGGCCCUGGUCAAAAGUAGUGCACUAUAUAGGAGGUAAGGUACCUUUUGGAACACAGUGUAUGUAGAAGUGUAUGUAGAAGAAGAAGAGUCAGCCAGCCUGUCUGUCUAUCGAUAGAGAUAAUCAGCUUGUAUGUCGGCAAAGAUCUCGGCCUCCCACUUGUCAAGCAGUUCCCCUUUGUUGUGGAGCUCCUCAUGGGUCUCUGUAGAAAACUAAAAGAGAGUCAAGCACUGACACCAAACUUGGUUUUCUUUAGGCUUAUUUAGUGAGGAAACUGACACUUUUUACUCUCUAUUCUAUAGGCAUUUUGACUCUUCUAUCAAAAUGCCUGAUAAUGCUUGUAGGAGAUGUCAUGGCAACGUUGGUUAGCUGAGCUUACGUUCAGAAACACGUCAUGGAGUCUAACGGUCGUCUCGCGCCGAACUGUGCAUGUGCAGGCCGUCAAAUCAAAGGAACUCCUUCGAUAUAAAGUUGUUUUGACAAAUGAAAACAUGUUAGUUUGUCACUUUCACAAGGUUGGAGUAAUAACAUGUUCAACUACUGAAGACAUUGGCUCCAAUCAAAGUUGUGCCUUUAGAUUGAGAAAAUGAACAACUAAGGAAUAAUUUUUCACUUCUCUCAUUGGCUUCUCAAAUCGCAAACCCCGCCUGGUCUGCUUUGUCUGUUUCACAAGCAUUCUCAGAAGUCUCAUGAUGUUGCGACUCUGGGUUUAGAAACUCGGUGCUAGUAGGGUUUUCUAAACUGACACUAUUGGCCUUUACAAGUAAACAUUAGCCCUGUUAAGAAAUGCAUCAUAGACCAACGCUCUUACAUAAGACAUGUUGAAAUAUUAGAGUAACUCCCAACUGAAGUGUGGUCCAGCCAACGCUGCUGGCUACAAUAUGCAAACCUCCAAAAUGACCUGCACAAUAACAAAGCUGAAGAGAAGUGAAGAUUCCAUGAUGAAGGUCCUAUCCAUUCUGGCCAUGAUGCUACUCGGGGCGUCUGCCAUGGGCGUCUGCUCAAUGGCCUAAAGUCCACCGAACCUAAGUGGGUCUCUGGGAAGGUCAAGGCCUUUCUCCCAUGUCCUGGCCAUUCUACCUGGUAUAAACUGGGGUCCAAAUGUGUUAAGCACUUCAAAGAAGAAUUGGACUUUGCAUCUGCUGAGGAUUUCUGCCGCUCUCAAAAGGGCAAAUCUCAUCUGAUAUCAAUCCACUCUGCCCAGGAGAAUGAGGAUGUGGAUGUUUUUGCUCAGACGUUCAGCAGAAAUUCCCCUCGCAUCUGGCUUGGCGGUUUUACAGUAUCCGACCCCCUUCAGCCUCACCGCUACCUCUGGACUGAUGGGUCCCCCAUGGACUACUAUUCCUGGCUUCAGAACCCCAGUCAGCCAUCCGAUGACGGACAGUGCAUGGAAAUGAACUGGCAGCUCAAAGGGGAAUGGAAUGAUAAGCCGUGCAGCCAAACCAAUUACUUUCUGUGUGCCUUCAUAUCUGGUGAAAGAGAGGAAACGAAUGGAGGAGAAGAAGAGGGGACGGUGGAAAAAGGGAGUGGGAGGUUUAUCAUUUAAAGUAGAUGACAGAUGAGCAGUAUAGCAGUAUAUACUACCUGUCAGAUACGCUUUGCAUUACAGCUUUCUCAGACAUCACGACACCAGGACCCUGUAAAAUGUUAGAGAAAACCCACUGCUCAAAGACUAAGCCUUUGUCAGCUAAAAGUUCUCACCAUCACAGUCAGUUUCAGUCCGCCCAAAGUAAGAUUUAAUGAAACAACUGAUUGUAUUACAAACUUCUAAACACAUUGCAUUUGAGAAUUCUAUCUAGGCCUAUUGUCAGAAAAUAGUGUAACCUAAUCUAUUUCAGGGGAAUGGUGUUGAUAAAAUACUGCUUCACUUGUUUGUACUAUGAAACACUGUGCAUUGCUUGACUAGCAAAAAUAAAAAAGGAAUAGAAAAAUAUCUUCAUUAAAAUAAUCA